Long non-coding RNA from Bombus huntii, 2880 nucleotides. RefSeq lists it as uncharacterized. NCBI's taxonomy places the organism in Eukaryota, Metazoa, Arthropoda, Insecta, Hymenoptera, Apidae. The transcript is spliced from 3 exons. The record is from RefSeq and is a predicted model, not a curated record.
GAUGACGACCUUCUCGCAGCCAGCCGCCGAUAAUUAGCCUGACAGAUUUUAAGAUAUUGGGGCCUAGACCGAUGUAAACCGGCAGGAUUGAUAACGUGUCGAAGUUGUUCCAGUAACCGUAAUACGGUCGACAAAGAGGCGAUCUUACGCGAAAAAAAAGGUCGAUAACGUAGAAUGAAACUUUUCACAUGACGACACGUUUCCGAAAGAGCCGAGAGUUUUGAAGAUUUGUCGAGUAUACUGAGAAUAUCAGAUAAGCGAACUUCAUUUUUAACGAGGUUUCCUAUUUUACGACAAGGUUAGAAUUGCGUUCCGUUAUUUUACAAUAGAGCUAAGAAGAUAUAACGUAGGAUUUGAAUAUCACGUCAGUGGACUGAUUGUAUGUAAAAAAUUGAACGUUCAACAUGAUAUAUUACCGUGAGUUAUAUAGGGUAAUGUAACUAUGACAGUAUAGUGAUAUAUCUUAUACGGAAUGUUGGGCUUUCUGUUGCUAAAAUGGCACGAUCAGGUGAUGACCCAAUUAUUUUGAGCAACGUAGCGCUUGAACUGGGUAUCACAAAGGGAGAGCAACGUCCGAGAUAGUGUUCAGAAUUACGUCAAUGUAGAUGGAAAUAAAGUAAUAAAACGCUAGAUAAAAGGAGUCGUACAAAUCUUUUUAUUAUAGUACAGAUUUCCACAAAAAUGUCUACGUCGCGGAACUUCAUUUACAAUAAACGCUCGGCUAUGUGAAAAAUCUCUUUCUUUUUUUAUCUCGUGUACACAUUUUCAAAUUUGGCAUCGCGCGAUAAAGAGAAUAUACUACUCUCUUUCCUGUUGUCUCGAAUCACGUUCGCCAACAGAAUAAAUAGUAAGAACUAAUUGAUCUAAUUGAUAUGUUCUCGAUAAGGGAGAUAUCGUAGCAUUUUUUAAACACAAGCUUCGAUAAAUCUCUCAUUAUGUGAAUGAUCGUUAAACACUGUUCGAUAUAAAUAUAAAAUAAUAAUAAUUAGACGGCGGAUUUUUAUGGCACAUUAAAGAAUGCAAAAUUGCACAGAGUGCGCAUAAUAUGAAAAAUUAUAUAUACAGGGUGGUUGGUAGUAACUAGUAGUACAAGCGGAAAGGGGGCGAUUCUACGCGAAAAAAGAAGUCGAAAAUAUAGAAUAAAAAAAUUUUUUUUUUAUUUUUUUAAAAAUCUACAGUGAGAUCCGUUAUAACGAGACGCGAUAAAGUGAACGCGUACCGAGCGAAAAUUCAAAGUCGAUUUUCUCGAAAACAAAGCCUCGAACGAAAAAUUUUUAUUCUAUAUUUUCGACUUCUUUUUUCGCGUAGAAUCACCCCCUUUCCGCUUGUACCACCAGUUACCGACCACCCUGUAUAUCGAAACUUUUAUUUACUCUUUCAGAUUCUUCCAAAUUUAACCAAUAUGAUUAGUAUAUUAAAUUUGUAUGAAAUUAUUCGCAAUAAGUACUUUGUAGCUUGUGUAACUAUUUACACUUCCAAAUUGUUUGCAAAUCUGACUAAAGUAAUCAGUAAAGUCGUAUACCACCAGUUACCAACCACCCUGUAUAUAUAGAAGAGCAAUGUACAUGUAAACCACCAUGUAUCCCGGAGAAGUAAUAUUACGUAAAUAAAAAAAAAUCCGCGAUAUAAUAUAAAUGUAGUAUAAAAUAAUAUAAAAUUUAUAAAAUAUGUAUAAAAUAAUGGAUUUGUAUGAAAAUCUAGUGAUCAGUUAUAAGUCUGUUACUGACCAGUAACCUAACCCCAAUUGACAAGAGAAAAAAGGAUUGAAAAACCAGACCCCUUGCUAUACGACAGCAGUAAAAUGACAAUUCACGGAAUCCACCGUUAAAUGACGGCAAUUUCAACUUGGUCCCUCCCACUAAAUCGGGAUCUGCCUUCGGUAAAACGAUACAGACAAUCCUACGCAAGACAUACCAAAAUUUACGAACCUCCGGUGAUUUGAUUCGAUACUGGCGCCACACGGAGAAAAUAAGAAACACAUAGCAGCACACAGUGCCCCGGUACAUACAUAUACACGUGUGCAGAGAUCGUGAUUCACUACGGAACAACAAUAACACGACAGAUUCUUCGUAACGAGCGUCAUAAUUGGAAAGAGAUCUUCAUGCAACAUGAACACAGCGACAUUGUGAUGUUACAUUACUAAUCAGUAUUCGUCACGCUAAACGCGACGCCUUCGUGGAAACGGUGAACGAAGGCAUGCUCGUGACCGAGCAUUAUAUAUAGACUCCGCACGACCGCUAUUAUGCCUUCACUAUUCCUCCACUGAGUUUAUUUAUGUAGAUGUUUUACACAUACACAGCUGUGAAGUAAUAGGUUAUGCACUAGUUGAACCGUCUGUGAAAAAAAUUUAGUAGACGAAAUUGCUCGCGAGAUUCGGAUAAAAAUGAGUAGGGUAGCAUUUCUUUUUACAGAAUAUUUAUCGAGAGAAUAAACAUGGAAACUAACCUCAUAUACUUUCUUUUAUUCUUCACUUCUGACUCUUUUUUUAUUUAUGCAAUAUUACUUUCUUCCUUUUACGUAUAAUUUUAAUAAAUUAAUUUAAUUUUGCACACAAUCGAAUGUAAGCAUUCGUGUAUACAGUGGCACGAAAGUACACCGACUCCGAUAUAAUCUUACCAAUAUAAUCUUUAAACUUUACCAGUACAAUCAUUACAGUCAUGUUUCAUUGUGGCGAUAAUAAAAUAUCGAAGUGUAUUAUGUAACACAUAUGUGCAGUAUGAACAUAAGAGUUUCCUAUAGCGAUUAAAUAAAUACCAGAUAAAUAAAAUAAAUCAGUAACUAGUAUGCUUAUCGAUAACUAAACAUAUUGGAAAAGAAAGGAAAGAGAAUUUGCUUUACUUAAAUAGAUUAAACUAAACUAGCAUUCUUAUCAGCUAGUAG